Molecule: transfer RNA, 76 nt
Filed under: Sphingomonas sp.
Lineage: Bacteria; Pseudomonadati; Pseudomonadota; Alphaproteobacteria; Sphingomonadales; Sphingomonadaceae
Description: tRNA-Lys
Rfam family: tRNA
About the family: Transfer RNA (tRNA) molecules are approximately 80 nucleotides in length. Their secondary structure includes four short double-helical elements and three loops (D, anti-codon, and T loops). Further hydrogen bonds mediate the characteristic L-shaped molecular structure. tRNAs have two regions of fundamental functional importance: the anti-codon, which is responsible for specific mRNA codon recognition, and the 3' end, to which the tRNAs corresponding amino acid is attached (by aminoacyl-tRNA synthetases). tRNAs cope with the degeneracy of the genetic code in two manners: having more than one tRNA (with a specific anti-codon) for a particular amino acid; and 'wobble' base-pairing, i.e. permitting non-standard base-pairing at the 3rd anti-codon position.
Source: RNAcentral
CGGACGUUAGCUCAGUUGGCAGAGCAGUUGACUUUUAAUCAAUUGGUCGCUGGUUCGAACCCAGCACGUUCGACCA